RNAcentral lists this ribosomal RNA (468 nucleotides) under uncultured bacterium. RNAcentral's name for it is "partial 16S ribosomal RNA". It matches the Rfam family "Bacterial small subunit ribosomal RNA", at positions 28 to 507 of the family's 1533-position model. The record is from RNAcentral.
GACGAACGCUGGCGGUGUGCUUAACACAUGCAAGUCGAACGGAAAGGCCCUGCUUUUGUGGCGUGCUCGAUUGGCGAACGGGUGUGUAACACGUGAGUAACCUGCCCUUGCCUUUGGGAUAACUUCAGGAAACUGGGGCUACUACCCGAUAGGAGCUCCUGCUGCAUGGUGGGGCUUGGAUAGUUUCGGCGGUUGGGUAUGGACUCGCGGCUUAUCUGCUUGUUGGUGGAGUAGUGGCUGACCAAGGCUUUGACGGGUAGCCGGCCUGAGCGGGGGACCGGCCACAUGGGGACUGAGAGAGGGCCGAGAAUCGAACGGGAGGCAGCAGUGGAGAAUGUUGCACGAGGGGCGGAAGCGUGAGGCAGCAACGCAGCGUGGGGAAUGACGGCCAUCGGGUUGUAAACGGCAGUAACGUAGGACGAAGGGUGAGUGACGGUAAUGGGUAGGGAAGCACCGGCUAACUACGUG